GACCAGGUGUCUCUGUCUCUCUCCUCUCCAGGACCAGGUGUCUCUGUCUCUCUCCUCUCCAGGACCAGGUGUCUCUGUCUCUCUCCUCUCCAGGACCAGGUGUCUCUGUCUCUCUCCUCUCCAGGACCAGGUGUCUCUGUCUCUCUCCUCUCCAGGACCAGGUGUCUCUGUCUCUCUCCUCUCCAGGACCAGGUGUCUCUGUCUCUCUCCUCUCCAGGACCAGGUGUCUCUGUCUCUCUCCUCUCCAGGACCAGGUGUCUCUGUCUCUCUCCUCUCCAGGACCAGGUGUCUCUGUCUCUCUCCUCUCCAGGACCAGGUGUCUCUGUCUCUCUCCUCUCCAGGACCAGGUGUCUCUGUCUCUCUCCUCUCCAGGACCAGGUGUCUCUGUCUCUCUCCUCUCCAGGACCAGGUGUUCAUGCCUCUGGUCCUCUCUCUCCUCUCCAG
Long non-coding RNA from Oncorhynchus keta (chum salmon), 444 nucleotides. RefSeq lists it as uncharacterized. The record is from RefSeq and is a predicted model, not a curated record. NCBI's taxonomy places the organism in Eukaryota, Metazoa, Chordata, Actinopteri, Salmoniformes, Salmonidae. The transcript has 4 exons.